CACAAUGCAAAAAUUAAACUAAAGAUUACAUCAGAAAUUGUUCAAACCAACAUCAAAUCAAAUCAACAUGUUAACAAAGGCAUCUCCUUCAAUUGAUCCCAAGUUCUUGGGCACCUUAGCUUCCAAAAUUGUAGCAUUGGAUUUGAAGAUGUUCAUUCCAUACACAAAUCCAUUGAAGGCAAGAACUCUUGCAAGAUACACUCCAGCAGAAGCUUGCUCUUCAGACACACUGAUUUGUCUCUCAGCAUUCAUCUCUGUAAUCUUCUUGACUUCAGCCAAAUUCUUCUCCAAUCCGUCAUCAAUAUGCUUCUUCAACUCCGUAAAUUUCUUGUCACAAGAACGCCGCAUGCCGCAAAUCUAAGAAUUUGAUGAUGCAAGUUUGACUUCAAUUAACCAUAAACAAAAGUACACACGAUUAUUCAAUUCAAAAGAUUAAACAAAAUUAAGAUUACACAAGAGAUUAUUCAAAACCAUCAAAGCCAACAUCAAAGCAACAUCUUCUUCUCUUUAGUAUAAGAGAUUAAAAAAGCCAUCCCCUUCAAGCGAUCCCUCCUUCUUGGGCAAUAGCCGGUCUAUGGCAUAAGCGAUCGCUAU
RNAcentral lists this long non-coding RNA (594 nucleotides) under Arabidopsis lyrata. Its description in RNAcentral is "long non-coding RNA (ALYR_LNC002316)". The record is from RNAcentral. Lineage: Eukaryota; Viridiplantae; Streptophyta; Magnoliopsida; Brassicales; Brassicaceae.